GGGGCCUUAGCUCAGCUGGCAGAGCGCCUGCUUUGCAAGCAGGAUGUCAGGAGUUCGAAUCUCCUAGGCUCCACCC
RNAcentral lists this transfer RNA (76 nucleotides) under Herbidospora galbida. RNAcentral's name for it is "Herbidospora sp. NEAU-GS14 tRNA-Ala". It matches the Rfam family "tRNA". Rfam says of the family: Transfer RNA (tRNA) molecules are approximately 80 nucleotides in length. Their secondary structure includes four short double-helical elements and three loops (D, anti-codon, and T loops). Further hydrogen bonds mediate the characteristic L-shaped molecular structure. tRNAs have two regions of fundamental functional importance: the anti-codon, which is responsible for specific mRNA codon recognition, and the 3' end, to which the tRNAs corresponding amino acid is attached (by aminoacyl-tRNA synthetases). tRNAs cope with the degeneracy of the genetic code in two manners: having more than one tRNA (with a specific anti-codon) for a particular amino acid; and 'wobble' base-pairing, i.e. permitting non-standard base-pairing at the 3rd anti-codon position. The record is from RNAcentral. Lineage: Bacteria; Bacillati; Actinomycetota; Actinomycetes; Streptosporangiales; Streptosporangiaceae.